UUAAACAAAAAUAUAUAUUACUCCAUCCGUUUCACAAAGAUAGAUUUUCUAUCGCUUUCGCACAUGUUAAGAAAACACAUUAAAUCACUAUAUUAAAUAUAUCGUUUUCUACAAUUUUCAAUUGUCAAAAACUUUUAACCAAUAGUAAUUCAAUAAAAUCAAUUAAUUUUCUUGAAGUUUACAAUUUUUUCAUAAAAAACACAAAAUAUAUAUCCUUAUGAAACAAACUUCUUUUCUAAAACAUCUAUUUUUUUUUAAACGGAUGGAGUAUUAUUUUCAGCAACUAAAGAUCAAAUAUCAUUAGAGGACCUUAAACAGAAAGCCCUGAAAGUUUAGGUGAAUAUAUACGCAAAACUUGGCUAAACUAUCUGCCAACUCAUUUAAAGAACAACAGCAAUAGGAAAAACAAUAAAAAGAAAGAAAAAAGAGGAAAGUGAAGAGAUGUCCGAGAUAACUCCUUGAAGUUCAAUCGAUCCACCAUUCGCGUUGAUAGCUCUCACGAGCUCUUGAGCAUCUUAACGAAACCAGAUCUUAGUGUAGCCAAGGGUUGAGGCAUGGAUCAAAGCCUCUCUAAUUGCAAAUUCCGACAUGCAAACGAACCCUUAUAAGAAUAUUUAGCGCAACUUUAGAAUAUACAUAUAUACGAGUAUGAGUAUACAACUGAUGUUUCAGUAACAUACAUCAUGGAUAUUUGAUCUUUAUAUAAAUAUUUGAUGAACGAAAGAACCUUAAUCCAACAAUUAUCUAGAGAUAUGUGAGAGAAUAUUCUCUUUUUUCUCUCUUUCCCGAAAAAACGUUUUUUGUCGAAAAUCUAUUGAUCUGCAUUUAGUGGCUGGCAGUGGUUCUCUUACCGUCGGUCGCCACCCUUCAUUGUUCUCAUGUCUGUUAUUCAAACAUGUUUUGUUCCAGUUUUACCACUCCCUCUUUCCUCUUCAUCUUUAGUUUUGUGUUGGAUUGCGGUCGGAUCCAGUAAAUCAAAUCAGAUGUUAGAUGUGUAACACAAUCUUUUUGGAGUGACAGCAAAUUCGUGGUUAUUCGACUGCCUGCAAGAAGCACCUUUUGCAGAAUUUUUCCGUUUAGAUUCUACGAUCUGAGACAAAAAGCGACGUUGAGGACAUUGCCGAGGACUUCCUUUUCGUUCUGAUUUCACAACAGCUACCAUGGCCUUUUGUUUGAUUACAUAUCUAUUAUAGUGCUUUGGCUUGUUAAAGGGUUUUAUGUUGUUUCCAUGCAUUUCUUCUUCACUACAGAUCUGGAUCCUUUCACCCCUAGUGAAUGUUGAUGGGAGUCUCAGUCUCUUCAGUUUCUAAUAUUCCUAGAAGAGUGGUGGCUACCACCGUUUCUUGCCAUUUCAACGUUCUGAAACCGGAAUCUUUUUGUGCUUUGCUCGCGAGAAGAGACCGAGUCGAGCCAUUAACCCUCUGCUUACUUCUGCUAGUUUCACAUUGAAGCAUUCGACCGCUGGCCUCUUCUCGUUAAAUAGGGAUUCACUGGAAACAGCUUUUGGAGUGUACAUCGUUUAGAGUUGACUUUACUGGGUGAUGGCUGGACUAAGACCUUGUCAACUCUGCUCUGCUUGUCAUUCUUUCGAAGUCACCUUCAGAAAAAUCUACGGUUCUUCGGAUUGUUCUUCGGCCGUUAUUUCUAUUAUUAUCCUUGCUAUUGUUAUAGGUUCCUGCAAUCAAUCUAAGCAUCAAUGUACUGGAACCCAAUGGCUUUCCACAAUCUACGGUUCCUCCGAUUGUUCUUCGGCUGUUAUUUCUAUUAUGAUCCUUGCUAUUGUUA
Brassica napus (rape) is the source of this 1785-nucleotide long non-coding RNA. RefSeq lists it as uncharacterized. Lineage: Eukaryota; Viridiplantae; Streptophyta; Magnoliopsida; Brassicales; Brassicaceae. The record is from RefSeq and is a predicted model, not a curated record. The transcript is spliced from 2 exons.